Molecule: ribosomal RNA, 425 nt
Filed under: uncultured bacterium
Lineage: Bacteria
Description: partial 16S ribosomal RNA
Rfam family: Bacterial small subunit ribosomal RNA
Source: RNAcentral
GUGGGGAAUCUUGCGCAAUGGGCGAAAGCCUGACGCAGCCAUGCCGCGUGAAUGAUGAAGGUCUUAGGAUUGUAAAAUUCUUUCACCGGGGACGAUAAUGACGGUACCCGGAGAAGAAGCCCCGGCUAACUUCGUGCCAGCAGCCGCGGUAAUACGAAGGGGGCUAGCGUUGCUCGGAAUUACUGGGCGUAAAGGGCGCGUAGGCGGACAGUUUAGUCAGAGGUGAAAGCCCAGGGCUCAACCUUGGAAUUGCCUUUGAUACUUGCUGUCUUGAGUACGGGAGAGGUGAGUGGAACUCCGAGUGUAGAGGUGAAAUUCGUAGAUAUUCGGAAGAACACCAGUGGCGAAGGCGACUCACUGGCCCGUUACUGACGCUGAGGCGCGAAAGCGUGGGGAGCAAACAGGAUUAGAUACCCGAGUAGUCC